AGAUUUUGAUUGACACAAACAGAGAUAUCUUUUACAUUAUAAAAUGACCAAACAAUUUUUAUUGAUUACACAUGUAAAUGAAAAAAAAAAUAUGAAUAUAAUUCUCAAAUUUGUGUGUGUUCUCAUUCUAUUUAUUUCUCUACUUGUGGUAAAUGGAGCCAUUGGUAAGUAUUUUUCUCAUCAACCUUCAACUUUUUUGUAAAUUGUAAUAUACACAAUCUAUUAUCCCAUUUGAAUAACAUUAUUUGUGUUUUACAUUAUAGUAUCUCGCAAAUGUAAAACACAUGCCGAUUGUAAACAGUAUUGUGACUCACCUGCAAUUCCUCAAUGCAUUUGGAUGAAAUGUUAUUGUGUUUAAACAGUUAAGUUAACACAUAAUUUUGUUACUUCUAAACUUUAAGUUUUAUUAAACGUGUUUUUGUUAGUUGUUACUCUUAUAAUUUCUUGCACAACUCGAAUUUUCUCUUUCUGACCUUUAAAUUUCUUUCAGAAGCACAGGAGUAUAUAUCAUGCAACGGUUGUCAUCAUUGUUUUUGCAAUAUACUUGUCUCUAAAUAUUAGCACCCAUUUUACAAAAUUAUUAUCUUUAAACAUUAACUUCUUUUCAAAACUAGUGGUUAUGAUUAUGUAAAAUUAUUAUUAAACAAAGACAAUAUGAUUAUGAUUAUGUAAAGUAAGCAUCUAUUAUUUAUUUUAGUCCUACAUUUCAGACGUGAAUAAAUAUUACUAUCGUGUAUUUUAAUGUUUCUUAUAUGCAUACCCUUUUUUUUAUAACGC
RNAcentral lists this long non-coding RNA (777 nucleotides) under Lathyrus oleraceus (garden pea). RNAcentral's name for it is "Pisum sativum (pea) long non-coding RNA (PSAT_LNC035042)". Lineage: Eukaryota; Viridiplantae; Streptophyta; Magnoliopsida; Fabales; Fabaceae. The record is from RNAcentral.